CCUACGGGAGGCAGCAGUGAGGAAUAUUGGUCAAUGGACGAGAGUCUGAACCAGCCAAGUAGCGUGAAGGAUGACUGCCCUAUGGGUUGUAAACUUCUUUUAUAUGGGAAUAAAAUGUUCCACGUGUGGGAUUUUGUAUGUACCAUAUGAAUAAGGAUCGGCUAACUCCGUGCCAGCAGCCUCGGUAAUACGGAGGAUCCGAGCGUUAUCCGGAUUUAUUGGGUUUAAAGGGAGCGUAGGUGGAUUGUUAAGUCAGUUGUGAAAGUUUGCGGCUCAACCGUAAAAUUGCAGUUGAAACUGGCAGUCGUGAGUACAGUAGAGGUGGGCGGAAUUCGUGGUGUAGCGGUGAAAUGCUUAGAUAUCACGAAGAACUCCGAUGGCGAAGGCAGCUCACUGGACUGCAACUGACACUGAGGCUCGAAAGUGUGGGUAUCAAACAGGAUUAGAUACCCUAGUAGUC
RNAcentral lists this ribosomal RNA (460 nucleotides) under uncultured bacterium. Its description in RNAcentral is "partial 16S ribosomal RNA". It matches the Rfam family "Bacterial small subunit ribosomal RNA", at positions 338 to 795 of the family's 1533-position model. The record is from RNAcentral.